This 503-nucleotide ribosomal RNA is filed under the name uncultured bacterium. RNAcentral's name for it is "partial 16S ribosomal RNA". It matches the Rfam family "Bacterial small subunit ribosomal RNA", at positions 28 to 523 of the family's 1533-position model. The record is from RNAcentral.
GAUGAACGCUAGCGAUAGGCCUAACACAUGCAAGUUGAGGGGCAGCAUAGAGUAGCAGUACUUUGAUGGCGACCGGCGCACGGGUGAGUAACACGUAUGCAACCUACCUACAUCAGGGGAAUAACCCGGAGAAAUUCGGACUAAUACCGCAUAAUACAGGGAUGCCGCAUGGCAAUAUUUGUUAAAGAUUUAUCGGAUGUAGAUGGGCAUGCGUUCCAUUAGCUAGUUGGUAAGGUAACGGCUUACCAAGGCAACGAUGGAUAGGGGAACUGAGAGGUUUGUCCCCCACACUGGAACUGAGACACGGACCAGACUCCUACGGGAGGCAGCAGUGAGGAAUAUUGGUCAAUGGACGAGAGUCUGAACCAGUCAAAUCGCGUGAAGGAAGACUGCCCUACGGGUUGUAAACUUCUUUUGUACAGGAAUAAAAGACAUUACGUGUAAUGUAUUGCAUGUACUGUACGAAUAAGCAUCGGCUAACUCCGUGCCAGCCGCCGCGGUAA